Molecule: long non-coding RNA, 2331 nt
Organism: Oreochromis niloticus (Nile tilapia)
Lineage: Eukaryota; Metazoa; Chordata; Actinopteri; Cichliformes; Cichlidae
Source: Ensembl
AUGCUGGUACCUCCCUUUGUUUGGAGUUUACCACCGAAGAAACCUGCCAAAAUUAGGGUCGUAUUCGACUCAAGCGCCCCAUAUGAAGGAGUCUCUCUCAACGACGUGUUGCUAACAGGCCCCGACCUCAACAACAGUCUUGUUGGGGUGCUCAUAAGAUUCAGAAAGGAGCAGGUGGCCAUAACGGCGGACAUUGAACACAUGUUCCACUGUUUUGUUGUCAAAGAGAGCCACAGAGACUUUCUCCGCUUCUUGUGGUACAAAGAUAAUGACAUGUCAUCUGAAGUUAGAGAGUAUCGCAUGCGGGUGCACAUUUUUGGGAACAGUCCCUCCCCUUCUGUCGCCAUAUAUGGGUUGAAGAAAGCAGCAGCGACUGGUGAGCCAGAUUUUGGGAGUGAGGUGCGGACAUUCAUUGAGCGAGAUUUCUAUGUCGAUGACGCUCUCAAGUCAUUUUCUACUGAAGAAAAGGCUAUACAAGUUCUCCAACAAGCUCAACAGGCUCUUGCUUCCUCAAAUCUCAGACUACACAAAGUCAUCUCCAACCGACCUACGGUCCUAGAGGCUUUUCCACCAGAAGACAGGGCAAAAAAUAUUGGAAACUUGGACCUGUGUGCUCAAGACUUGCCAGUGCAACGCAGUUUAGGGCUGCUGUGGAAUGUUAACACGGACACUUUCACAUUCAAAGUUGAAAACGAGCAAAAGGCCUUCACGUGUAGAGGUGUCCUCUCUACUGUUAAUAGUCUCUACGGCCCCCUAGGGUUUCUCGCUCCAAUCACAAUUCAAGGCAGGCUGAUUCUCAGAGAACUUACCAGCUUGACGGAUGACUGGGAUGCAGCACUCCCAGACAGCAUGAAAGCAGAGUGGAGCAUUUGGAAGGACUCACUUCGAGAUUUAGAAGGUCUCCAAAUACCACGCCCCUACACUUCCCUCUCUACAUCUGGCGCUCAAACCAAAAAACUUUGUGUAUUUGCCGAUGCAUCCGUGAAAGCCAUUGCAGCUGUCGCUUACAUCAAACUGUCUACUUCAAACGAAACAGAAAUCGGCUUUGUGUUUGGGAAAACAAAGCUAGCUCCUCAAGCCGGCCUCACAAUUCCAAGGCUAGAGUUAUGUGCUGCAGUGCUUGCAGUUGAAGUUGCGGAGCUGAUAGUAGCGGAAAUAGACAUCACUUUUGACGACAUUGAGUACUACACUGACAGUAAAGUCGUGCUAGGCUACAUCCACAAUCAGUCACGAAGAUUUUAUGUGUACGUGCAUAACAGGGUCCAACGCAUCCUCCAAUCAACAUGCUCCAACCAGUGGAAACAUGUUCCAUCCGAACUCAACCCAGCAGAUUAUGGGUCCCGCUCUGUUGCAGCAGCGCAACUGAGCAGCACAACAUGGUUUAAAGGGCCGGCCUUUCUCCUCAAACCGUCUGCACAGCCACAAUCUCCGGUCACGUUUGACCUUGUGGAUCCCGCCCUUGAUACGGAAAUACGUCCGCUGGUGGCAACAAAUCUGACACAAGCCACAAAGUCAACAGUAAGUUCACCUCAUUUUGAGAAGUUUUCCAACUACAGUCCUCUCCUCAGAGCAGUUGCCCGCUUGAUCCACAUUGCUCGUUCCUUUGGUCAAUCCAACCAAGCAUCCAGCUGUCGUGGUUGGCAUCUCUGUCAACCCACGGUGGAAGAAUUGGAAAAUGCGAAGGUUUGCAUCAUAAAGAGUGUUCAGAGUGAGUGCUACAAAAGGGAAAUAAAGUGUAUUCAGGAAGGAAUCAAGAUUUCCUCCUCAAGCAGUCUCUGGAAACUGCAUCCGAUUUUAGACAGUAAUGGACUCUUAAGAGUUGGGGGCCGGAUCAUACAAUCUGAACUGGGCAUCGACACCACUAACCCUCUCAUCAUCCCUGCCCGACACCACUUGGGAAUGCUCUUAAUACGGCACUAUCACGAGACUGUGAAACACCAAGGAAGACAUUUCACAGAAGGUGCCAUUAGAGCUGCAGGGUUCUGGAUGGUAGGGGCCAAAAGGGCUAUCAGUUCAGUGCUUUUUAAGUGUGUCACAUGCAAGAAAUUGAGAGGAAAAGCAGAAUGUCAGCAAAUGGGAAACUUACCAUCUGAACGAAUGCGAGUUGCACCCCCCUUCACAUAUGUAGGUGUAGACAUGUUCGGGCCAUGGGACAUUGUAACAUGGCGCACGAGAGGAGGACAAGCUAGCUCUAAAAGGUGGGCCGUGAUGUUCUCAUGUCUGUCAACAAGAGCAGUCCAUAUCAAGUUGAUCGAAUCAAUGAGCACAGACAGCUUCAUAAAUGCUUUAAGGCGGCUUUUUGCAAUCAGAGGCCCGGCAAGACAACUAUGA